RNAcentral lists this ribosomal RNA (435 nucleotides) under uncultured bacterium. RNAcentral's name for it is "bacterial SSU rRNA". It matches the Rfam family "Bacterial small subunit ribosomal RNA", at positions 30 to 467 of the family's 1533-position model. The record is from RNAcentral.
AUUGAACGCUGGCGGCAGGCCUAACACAUGCAAGUCGAGCGGUAGAGGGGUGCUUGCACUCCUUGAGAGCGGCGGACGGGUGAGUAAUGCCUAGGGAUCUGCCUGGUAGUGGGGGAUAACCAGUCGAAAGACUGGCUAAUACCGCAUACGAUCCAUGGAUGAAAGCGGGGGACCGAAAGGCCUCGUGCUCCUGGAGCGGCCGAUAUCUGAUUAGCUAGUUGGUGGGGUAAAAGCUCACCAAGGCGACGAUCAGUAGCUGGUCUGAGAGGACGACCAGCCACACUGGGACUGAGACACGGCCCAGACUCCUACGGGAGGCAGCAGUGGGGAAUUUUGGACAAUGGGGGGCAACCCUGAUCCAGCAAUGCCGCGUGUGUGAAGAAGGCCUCGGUGUAAGCACUUUGUCGGAAGAAAUACGCCUGGGAGUAAUACCUU